This 2176-nucleotide long non-coding RNA is filed under the name Numida meleagris (helmeted guineafowl). Its description in RNAcentral is "lncRNA (ENSNMEG00000004235.1)". The record is from RNAcentral. Lineage: Eukaryota; Metazoa; Chordata; Aves; Galliformes; Numididae.
AUGGCCGGAGACCGUGGUACGGGCCGCGUGAAAGGCACGGCACAAGUUGUUUCUGCGGUCUGCGCUGCCACCGCGUGGUCAAUCCGCGGCAGUGCCGCUGUCCCGGUUUGGUGCGGCUGGACGCAUGCGCGCAGGCACGCGGAAGUGGCGCGUCUCCGUCGUGGUCGCUUUGCGCAGCUAACCCGCCAGUCUCUAUUGUGGUUAUUCCUCCAGGCGACAGUGCGCAUGCGCCCGACAGCGAGUAAGCGGCACCCGUUUCUGCGAGGCGCUGAGGUGCGGGCUUGCAGUCGGGGCUUGGACCGCCGGCUCAGCGAUGUUCUCCCGCCGCUUCCAAUCCAGGCUGCCCCUCGCCUAUUUCCUCGGGCGCUGUUACGCCCGAGCCCGCCCUGGGACCACGGGCCGCUUCUGCUCCAGGCGGCCCCCGCGCGCGCCGCGGCACCCGAUUGGCUCGGCGUGGCACGUGACCGUCAGCCGCGUGCCCUAGCACCGCGCACGCGCGCUAGCGGAGCGGUCUUCGCCGCUGCCACGCGUGGAAGAGGCUUCGGAACCGCAGGCGCUCGAGGGCGGUGCGGGCAUCUGUCUCGCCCCGCUGCUGCGCUCUGCGCCGUCCUUCAUCCGUUCCGCGCUCUCUUUCGUCUCUGCCCACGUUCGCAGCCCCGGGAAUGUACCGGUUCGGCUCGCGGCUGCCCUCGAGCGCCUCGCGGCAUCCGAUUGGCUCAUUGCCGCGGUGGACUGACAGGCGUCGCCGUCCACUCCCAGCCCUGCCCCGGCCCCCAGCCGUUCAAAAGGGCUCUCGGCCGCGGUGGGAGCCGAGCAGCUCGGGGAUUGGUGGCGCGCGGUGCUGUCGUUGAGCGGCCGGGGCAGCGCAGCGUCCCUGGAGCGGCACGGAGCGGCUCCGGGAUCGCUCUAAGCGGCGUGCUGCCGACUUUCCUAGGAGCCGCUGAACGGGCUUUUCCACCGGUCCCGUCCCGGGCAACCGAGCCCCUUCGCGUCGCAGUGCCUCAGGGCUCCGGGCACCCCCGCCGUGCGCUGCAGGGAGACAGCAGCAGUUCCUACAACGGAGCGGGAAGCGAGCGGGAGAACGCGUCGGGCCAGAUUUGUAGGGCAGCCGAGAGCCGCGGAGCCGCUUCGGUGAUGACUUGUGGAAACAAACUUCACAGCUGGGGAAGGUUGUAAAGCAGGUAUGCUUCUUACGGUGCUGCACCCACACGCUGUGUACAAGGGGGGUACCCCCAUCCUAGCUUGCACAUCGAAAGGCAGAAACCUUCCAUAUUUAAAGAUCGAGGCAUGCAUAUUGCUAGCAUUCCUGAGGGAGGGAGGGACUGUUACAAUUAAUUCCAUGAGAUCAUUAUAAUUCGCUCCACCUCAGAGUCACACCCCUAUAGCAUGCGUAGUGCUUCCUGUUGGCUGUCUUUGGGGGUCGUGGGGAUGAAGGCCGUAUCUCUUCCUCACUGUGUACUCUUGACCUUGGCAUGGUUGAUGAGGGUGAUCCAGCUUUGGCUGGUUUUCUUCAGGACGCAGUCUCCAGUUCAGUGCCAACGACCAAACAGCAACUUCUGGGUUUCCUUGCCCCAUUAACCCACAUCCAUCUUUUCUUGUUUGUCUGAAACUGUAUUCUACCCUUUUCUUCCCCGGGAGGAUAGGGUGCUGUGGGGCUUUAUGGGGUGAUAUGGGGCUAAGGGGGGCUGUUGGGAGCUACAGGGAGGGAUGUGGAGCUAUCGGAGGUUGGGGGUGGGGGGCUGUAGGGGUGGAUAUAAGGUUAUAUGGGGCUAUGGGGUGUGCUAUAGGGGAAUGUGGGGCUAGAAGGCUUUUCCUUCCUUUCCCUUUCUUUCCUGUCAUUUCCCUUCCCACUUCUCCCCACAUUUUCCUCCCCUCCCUUUUCCUUCCCCUCCCCUUUCCUUUUCUGCCCACUACACCCCCCAUUUCCCUUCCCUUCCAUUCCCCUCUGUCUCUUGUUAUUUCCGGAAUACUUUAAGCAUUGGUGUGCGUUACUGAGAACGUUUCUUCCCGCAGUCUGUCAUUUCAUAGCAGGGUGGGUGAAACGCUAGUCAUGGAAAUUUAAGUUAGAAUAGAAAUUGUGUUGGAAUAGAAUAUGAUUGUUUUGUGGUCUUAAAUGUGAAACGUCUUUUCUUCUUGGGUUUUAGGUACAGCAGUUGUUUAAUAGAGACUUUGGAGA